ACUCCAGGCUCGCUUCGCCAGAAAUGGAUCCCCUGCGUGGUUGGCGGCGUAUGUCAGGGUGGGAGCGGGGUGGGUAAGUUUUCCUGUUCGGGACGUCCAGAUACGCUCCCCCUGUCCGCCGGACUCUGGACUCUGGUAUCAGGUCUAAGAUACGCUGCUAGGCCCAGGGAGCAUCUUGCAAGACCAGUCGGUUCUGGAAGAUUCCAUAGGUGUCCAAAUGGGUGGGACGGCAGGGGAAGGGGUCAGGGCUCUUGUUCUGUAGUCGGAAUGGGUUUGUGCCAUUGAAGAACUUUUUUGUGCCUCUGGCUUUGAGGCAAUGGGCCAUGCCGUGUUCUUCCCGGAGACUCCCUUCUGCCCUCUUCGACCCCCAGAAAGCAACGCCCUGAAGAUGACUGUUGUGGGCUCAUUGUGGAGAGGUUCUUGACGAUACAUCAGGGGAGAAGGAUCUGGAAGUGGCAGCUUGUGAUUUCAAUACCAAAGAGAGCCGAGGGCGCGCAGAGGCAGAGGUGAGUCCCUUUGUCUUUGACGCCUGGCGUGCCGGUGGAUGCUGGUGGAGGAGAAACCGAUCAGUCAGUGGGGUCUGAAGUGAGUUUCUGCGGUGACAUUCGGGGUAGGAGACGAAAUUACUUCCCCCAGGGCAAGUGGCAGCGUUUGGCAUUUUGAAGGUUGGCAAUGAGAUAAAUGCAGUAAAAUAGGAACUCGCACAAAGCUUCCCUUUAGCUCCCUGGAACGGGGCUGUGGUAGGAGGAAAAAUGGGGGACAGGCUGGUCUGGCAGGGCUCGCUCCCAGGGGACAGCCUGCCCGUUAGGGACCAGAGAGAGCCAGGGAUCAGCCCAGAGUCCCAUGGGGUGAUAUUUCUGCUCCAUUUUAUCCCUUCUGGGACCACACGUUUGGGUCUCUGCACCUGUGAGUGGGAGCAAGUGAAAUCUCUUCCGCGGACAGAAUCACGGGUGUCAGGGGCACAGGGACGUCUCCUGCCCGCUGACAUCCGAGUGUUCGUGUUCCUUUGCGUCUCUGCUUUCGCACGAGUUUGGACCUGCACUUGGCCUCCAAAGCCGACCAAACUGUCCCUUUCUUCCCAUGGUUCCCACCCAGCCACCUCCACUAGCAGGGAGCCCCCAGAGACCCUCGGGUCGAUAAGCAACAGCGGACGCAGGGCUCUUCUUUUCAAGGAGUUAUGCCGGCUGAAUGUACUGCUUCAGCUUGGCUGCCUCGCUGGCGGGAUAAAUUGCCGCCGAAGAGGUUUCAGGAACCUGAAAGGAUGAACGUGGCCACCUGGGAGAUGCUGCCGAGGGCAGAGGUGUGCCUUCGGUUCUAGAAAGUUCUCCAGCGCUCAGGCAUCGAGACUGAUGGGACGCCCCCCGGUCGUGGCUGGGAGAGGAAGAACCCGCCUUCCUGAGUGGCCAAAUCCAUCGGGAGGCGGGAGGGUUGAUGUCCAGCCCGGGAGACUUCCUCUCUCUGCCGUCCCCAGGCCUCAGUUUUCCCAUCCGCUAAGUGGGAAAUGGGAAUAACCUCUGACCUCAAGGUGUUCUGAGAGAACUCCUGGUGCUUCCAGACCUCAGGCCCCCCCCCCUCCCUCCCGGGACCACCUGCAGGUCCGUCCUUCUGGCCCUGUUCAACUACAGGCCCCCCUGGCCUCUGACACCUUCCUGAUGACUUAACUGGGGCCCUGCCUUCCGUUCCCUAGUCGCCGCUGUGAACUGCGAAGAUGAGUGCCUGAGCACUUCCUGCUUGCUUCCUGCUGCACUGUUGUCUUUCCAGCACGAGGACGGGCCGCCCCUUGUCUCUAAUGCCCUCCCCACACGCACACUUGGGAGCGGGCCAGCACAGCCCCACUCCGUCAGUCAAAUUCCCUUUGGGAGAAGCAGACAUGGAGACAGGAGGCUGACGGGUGGUUGCCUGGGCCGAGAGGAGGGAGAACUGGGGAGCACUGCCCACGCGUGCAAGGCUUCCAUUCGUGCGGAGAAAAUGGUUUGCAAGAAGAAGGCAGGUGGACCUACGGAGGGGUUUUCGGAAGAGGAGGGACGACCACAGUUGACUUUUUAGACAGCCUGCCCAGGGGGUGGUGAGGUGACAGGCAGGGGGCAGGGGAGCCGUAGAGGGGGUAAGAAUGCGGAUUUACGAGUCUGGAUGAGAAUGAAUAAAAGAUGUGGUUUAUACA
This 2161-nucleotide long non-coding RNA is filed under the name Felis catus (domestic cat). RNAcentral's name for it is "lncRNA (ENSFCAG00000049693.1)". Lineage: Eukaryota; Metazoa; Chordata; Mammalia; Carnivora; Felidae. The record is from RNAcentral.